GGGGACGAUCGGUUUCGACGAUGUGAGUUGAGGUAAGGGAAGCGUGCCGAGGACGCAAAGUCAUCUCGUAAACGCCCUUUGCAAUCAAUUAAGUGCCGAAUCUAAGCGCACUGACUUCGCUCUCGCUGCCUAAUCAGUGAUCGAGUCCGUCAGCCCGGGAAUGCUAUCGGCCCGGUGUCUGGCGUCGAUUAGAUAGCCACUGUUCGUUGACCCUGUCGGGGGAAUCAACGAAGACCUGAAGCCGACUAGACCUGAACGAUCGCCUGUCUGUGGGACGAUCGAGGUCGAUAAAACUUCAGAACAGACUGCGCACGGAGAAGCCUACUGAAGUUCACAUCGGACCCGGGUUCGAUUCCCGGCGUCUCCACCC
Molecule: transfer-messenger RNA, 370 nt
Filed under: Auritidibacter ignavus
Lineage: Bacteria; Bacillati; Actinomycetota; Actinomycetes; Micrococcales; Micrococcaceae
Also listed under: 2 other names
Description: Standard tmRNA
Rfam family: transfer-messenger RNA
About the family: Bacterial tmRNA, also known as 10Sa RNA or SsrA, is named for its dual tRNA and mRNA-like properties.
Source: RNAcentral